CCUACGGGUGGCUGCAGUGGGGAAUAUUGCACAAUGGGCGCAAGCCUGAUGCAGCGACGCCGCGUGAGGGAUGACGGCCUUCGGGUUGUAAACCUCUUUCGACAGGGACGAAGCGAGAGUGACGGUACCUGUAGAAGAAGCGCCGGCCAACUACGUGCCAGCAGCCGCGGUAAGACGUAGGGUGCGAGCGUUGUCCGGAUUUAUUGGGCGUAAAGAGCUCGUAGGCGGCUUGUCGCGUCGACUGUGAAAGCCCGCGGCUUAACUGCGGGACUGCAGUCGAUACGGGCAGGCUAGAGUUCGGUAGGGGAGACUGGAAUUCCUGGUGUAGCGGUGAAAUGCGCAGAUAUAAGGAGGAACACCGGUGGCGAAGGCGGGUCUCUGGGCCGAUACUGACGCUGAGGAGCGAAAGCGUGGGGAGCGAACAGGAUUAGAUACCCUAG
RNAcentral lists this ribosomal RNA (440 nucleotides) under uncultured bacterium. RNAcentral's name for it is "bacterial SSU rRNA". It matches the Rfam family "Bacterial small subunit ribosomal RNA", at positions 338 to 790 of the family's 1533-position model. The record is from RNAcentral.